GGGGUGUGCGCGCAAGAGUAGAUGCGUAGCUGUGGUCGGGUUCGGGGUAGCAGACGAGCAAAACAAAGUUGAUCUUUGCAGAGACUCAUCUUCCUUUCUCCCAGCUGUAAUUACCGUGAAACUAAAGAGGAAGGGCUGUUUGUGUUUGUUUGCAGGAUAUUGAUUCUGUGAGCUAGGAAAGCAACACGUUUGCAAAAGCUGAUCAGUUUCCCCUCUGAAGUUCUGAAAUGGAAGACUAGACUGAAGUGGAAAUAUUAAACUCUUAAUUUCUUUCCUACAUAUUUCCAUUUGUCCUUCCUCACCUCCUCGUCCUUUUUACAGCUGACUGUCUUCAAGUUGAUUCACAUCUCCCACCCCCUUAGUCUUACGGCUUUUUUUCCAAUUUUUAUUGAAACCUGGCAGGCUCUGCUAAAGGAAAUAACUCAC
Mauremys reevesii (Reeves's turtle) is the source of this 426-nucleotide long non-coding RNA. RefSeq lists it as uncharacterized. The record is from RefSeq and is a predicted model, not a curated record. Lineage: Eukaryota; Metazoa; Chordata; Testudines; Geoemydidae. The transcript has 3 exons.